GUAACUUCUUUACUGUGUGGGGUAGAGAGGAGGACUGGUCGGCUGCCAGCCUAGCUCUAGAUUCAGUGAGAGACCUUAUCCCAAGGGAAUGAGGCAGAGAGCAGCAGAGAAAGACACUCAAGGUCCUCCUCUGCUGUGUAUGCCUGCAUGGGUCUGGAGAAAAGAAGUUGUCCAGUGUUUAAUGCAGAGACGUGACCUUCGGGAACUGGUAACUCGGGGCAUAAAGGAGCCAAGGACAAAUGAGCCAGGCAUUCCAGAAUUGACAUCACAGCUGAGGAGCAGCAAGGGACAGAAGGAGGGGGAGGUGUCCCCAAGGCCAGUGAUGGGUUACCCAGGGAAGUUGGAGCUUCUGUGGUCUUGUCUGUCACUGCUGGAAGGGGACAGGAGGAACCGGCUCCAUCCUGCUGUAGUGCCCCAACAGCGCCUCCCAAGGAUGGGAGCAGGAAGAACAGAGACGUGGCCUGCAGGAGUCUGUCCCUGCAACAGAACAGAGGAGAGCAGGGGAGGGUUCCAGAGUCAGACACACGUGACUGUGAGUCAUAGGAAGGCUAACUUGGUGCCCAGCAACCAAGAAAGACCGAAAGACCUUCCCUUGGACUGCCCUGGACCUCCAAGGACUGUGCAAACCAAAAAGAAAAAUCAAUCACUUGCUACAGUUAAGAAAAGGUCCACUCUUGUCAGGAAAAUGCACCCCCCUCCCAGCCACUUUGUAAAGAAAAGCCCCAGGCAGAGGGCCUAUGAGCCACAAGCUUGUUCAGCCCCCCUCUGUCCACAGAGAACACACUGUACUCACUCUCACUCCUAAUACAUCUACACUUUCCUGCUACUCUAUGUCUCAAAUCCUUGUUCCAGACAUGAAGGACCUGGACAUUGUGUCACAGAUGGCCCCUGAGGCCCCCUCCAGUAUCGUUCUGGUAAACACACCGGGACCCAAUAACACAGGUGGGAAGGCAGGGAAAGGUGUCACCUCUGUCCCCAUCUGACCCCAGGCACUACUUACUGUCUCUUAAGUAGUUCCAGGACCAUCUGCCUUAGGACCCAGGGCCAACUGAGCUCGGACAGACACCACCUGCCUGGAAACAAAGUCACACCCAUGAGUAAAGGCUCUGGAGGAGGACCCCAGCAACACCCUUUGGGGUAGCAGAUGGUAAAGAUCUUGGUUUGAUGAUCUGCCUCCACGGCCCCAGAUGGCCCCGGUCAUUUGGCAGCUCACAGGCCCCAGAAUGUGGGCAGGGGGCAGGGAUCUAGACUGGGAUCUGCCUGGAAUACCUCUCUGUGUGCUUUUGGUUUCUAGACCAAAAGACAUUCCCAGGAGGGAGAGCCUUGUUCAACACACAGCCACCCACCUGUGCCUCACCAGGAACAGAGCCAUUCUCCCCCGGGACAGACAGUCUGGCAGGAGUACCACAUGCAUGGGAACAGACACUGAAGAGCACGUGGGGCCGGGCUCUGAGAAGAGAUACCCCUGCCGCGCCCUGAGCCGUCUUUACAAAGACCCUCAGCCAGCCCAGCCUGCAGCAGAGGGAGAGCAGAGGACAUAAGCCAGGUGGAGAUGCAAAUGGAAAGCUGUUGGAGAACUCGACUGUUUUACAUAAGGAGGAGGAAGCCAUGUGGUCACAGAACCUGUUGCUUUAGAGGCCUUUGGGAGAGGGAAAGGAAGGAGGCUGUGACCACCUGUCCUGCAUUCUCCAACAGACAGAAACCCUGGCUCAGCAUCAGCAUGGAUCAAAGCUCUCCUAUGAAGGAGUUCAAGCCCAGCCUAAGUGAACCUAAGUGGAGACCCUGUCUCAAAACCCAAAACAAACAAACAAAAACUUGGUUAUUUUAAGUACAAAACAAGAUAAAGCAUUUUGGAA
Molecule: long non-coding RNA, 1856 nt
Organism: Peromyscus eremicus (cactus mouse)
Lineage: Eukaryota; Metazoa; Chordata; Mammalia; Rodentia; Cricetidae
Exons: 2
Source: RefSeq, a predicted model, not a curated record